UACGUAGGGUCCGAGCGUUGUCCGGAAUUAUUGGGCGUAAAGAGCUCGUAGGCGGUUUGUCGCGUCUGCUGUGAAAUCCCGAGGCUCAACCUCGGGUCUGCAGUGGGUACGGGCAGACUGGAGUGCGGUAGGGGAGAAUGGAAUUCCUGGUGUAGCGGUGAAAUGCGCAGAUAUCAGGAGGAACACCGAUGGCGAAGGCAGUUCUCUGGGCCGUAACUGACGCUGAGGAGCGAAAGCGUGGGGAGCGAACAGG
RNAcentral lists this ribosomal RNA (253 nucleotides) under uncultured bacterium. RNAcentral's name for it is "partial 16S ribosomal RNA". It matches the Rfam family "Bacterial small subunit ribosomal RNA", at positions 524 to 776 of the family's 1533-position model. The record is from RNAcentral.